This 454-nucleotide ribosomal RNA is filed under the name uncultured bacterium. RNAcentral describes it as "partial 16S ribosomal RNA". It matches the Rfam family "Bacterial small subunit ribosomal RNA", at positions 28 to 507 of the family's 1533-position model. The record is from RNAcentral.
GAUGAACGCUGACAGAAUGCUUAACACAUGCAAGUCAACUUGAACUUCGGUUUGGGUGGCGGCCGGGUGAGUAACGCGUAAAGAACUUGCCUCACAGAUAGGGACAACAUUUGGAAACGAAUGCUAAUACCUGAUAUUAUGAUUUUAGGGCAUCCUAGGAUUAUGAAAGCUAUAUGCGCUGUGAGAGAGCUUUGCGUCCCAUUAGCUAGUUGGAGAGGUAACGGCUCACCAAGGCGAUGAUGGGUAGCCGGCCUGGGAGGGUGAUCGGCCACAAGGGGACUGAGACACGGCCCUUACGCCUACGGGAGGCAGCAGUGGGGAAUAUUAGACAAUGGACCAAGAGUCUGAUCCAGCAAUUCUGUGUGCACGAUGAAGUUUUUCGGAAUGUAAAGUGCUUUCAGUUGGGAAGAAAAAAAUGACGGUACCAACAGAAGAAGUGACGGCUAAAUACGUG